AUGGCUGAGAUGGUCGGAUCUCUGGUCGUCGGCGAGGUGGUCAGCAGGACCUCCUCGUUCCUCGUCAGCAAGCACAAGGAGAGGUCGGCGUCGGCCUGCACAAGCGAGAGCCUGGAGAGGCUGGAGAUGGCGCGCAUCAAGAUGGAGGCGGCGCUGGAGGUGUCCGCCCGGUGGCAGGUCACGGACGUGGCGAUGCUCCGGUGGCGGCGGAGGCUGCGGCGCGCCGCCGACGAGUGCGAUGCCGCGGUGCACCGCUGGAAGCUGCGGGCCCUGGAGGAGGAGGAGGCCAGGGAGGCGCUCGCGCGCGCGUGGCUCCCGAGCCGGGUCGCGCGCAUCGUGGCUUCCUUCGUGUCGUCGCUCCUCAGCCGCCGCAGCGAGGAGCCCCACGCGAAGGCCGUCCAGAGGUUCGAGAAGCUGGCUGACGGCGCCGGGGAUUUCCUGAGGUACCUGCAGUCCGGCGGCGCGCCUCGGAGGUGCUCGCUGCUCGACGACGCCAUUGUCGGGAAGCCUGCUGUGAGUACGAGUACGAGGCAUGGUCUGGUUCAGGGAGGUCGGCAGCGCUGCCUGCGCUCAGGAUCCAGGAAGAGCGGGGUGGAGAUUAGACAGCUUGUGCAGUGA
RNAcentral lists this ribosomal RNA (618 nucleotides) under Triticum aestivum (bread wheat). Its description in RNAcentral is "partial small subunit ribosomal RNA". Lineage: Eukaryota; Viridiplantae; Streptophyta; Magnoliopsida; Poales; Poaceae. The record is from RNAcentral.